This 553-nucleotide ribosomal RNA is filed under the name Fukomys darlingi (Darling's mole-rat). RNAcentral describes it as "partial 12S ribosomal RNA". It matches the Rfam family "Bacterial small subunit ribosomal RNA", at positions 20 to 944 of the family's 1533-position model. The record is from RNAcentral. Lineage: Eukaryota; Metazoa; Chordata; Mammalia; Rodentia; Bathyergidae.
UGGCUUUUUUAUUAGUUGUAAGCAGAAUUACACAUGCGAGUAUCCCCAAGCCAGUGAGGAUGCCCUUUAUAAUCGAUUCCGAUGAAAAGGAGCGGGUAUCAAGUUCACACAAAAGUAGCUCAUCACACCUUGUAGAACCACGCCCCCACGGGUAACAGCAGUGAUAAAAAUUAAGCUAUGAACGAAAGUUCGACUUAGUCAUGCAAUACAAUUAGGGUUGGUAAAUCUCGUGCCAGCCACCGCGGUCAUACGAUUAACCCGAAUUAAUAAACAACCGGCGUAAAGAAUGUUUAAGGUUAUAACAAAACUAAGAUUAAAUCUUGUCUGUGUCGUAAAAAAUUAUAGAUAAGACGAAACUCAAUAAACGCAGGUAAUCUUACAAUAUCUGAACACAUGACAGCUUGGGUACAAACUGGGAUUAGAUACCCCACUAUGCCAAGCCGUAAACACAAAAUAUUAAAUAGAACGAAAAGUUUCGCCAGAGAACUACUAGCCACGGCUAAAAACUCAAAGGACUUGGCGGUGCUUUACACCCACCUAGAGGAGCCUGUUC